This 299-nucleotide ribosomal RNA is filed under the name uncultured Synergistaceae bacterium. RNAcentral describes it as "partial 16S ribosomal RNA". It matches the Rfam family "Bacterial small subunit ribosomal RNA", at positions 1089 to 1382 of the family's 1533-position model. The record is from RNAcentral. Lineage: Bacteria; Thermotogati; Synergistota; Synergistia; Synergistales; Synergistaceae.
GUAACGAGCGACCCAACCCGUACAUUCAGUUGCCAUCGGGUAAUGCCGGGCACUCUGGAAGGACUGCCAUCGACAAGAUGGAGGAAGGUGGGGAUGACGUCAAGUCAUCAUGGCCCUUAUGUCCAGGGCGACACACGUGCUACAAUGGCCGGCACAACGGGAAGCGAGUUCGCGAGGACGAGCGGAUCCCUCGAAAGCCGGUCGCAGUUCGGAUUGAAGUCUGCAACUCGACUUCAUGAAGCUGGAAUCGCUAGUAAUCGUGGAUCAGCCAAGCCGCGGUGAAUACGUUCCCGGGCCUU